Molecule: unclassified non-coding RNA, 324 nt
Filed under: uncultured fungus
Lineage: Eukaryota; Fungi
Description: partial contains 5.8S ribosomal RNA and internal transcribed spacer 2
Rfam family: 5.8S ribosomal RNA (bases 1-133)
Source: RNAcentral
UGGCUCUGGCAUCGAUGAAGAACGCAGCGAAAUGCGAUAAGUAAUGUGAAUUGCAGAAUUCAGUGAAUCAUCGAAUCUUUGAACGCACAUUGCGCCCGCCAGUAUUCUGGCGGGCAUGCCUGUUCGAGCGUCAUUUCAACCCUCAAGCCCCAGCGGCUUGGUGUUGGGGACCGGCCCCGCGCCGCCCCCGAAAUGCAGUGGCGACCUCGCCGCAGCCUCCCCUGCGUAGUAGCACAACCUCGCACCGGAGCGCGGAGACGGUCACGCCGUAAAACGCCCAACUUUCUUAGAGUUGACCUCGGAUCAGGUAGGAAUACCCGCUGA